AAUGAACGCUGGCGGCGCGCCUAAUACAUGCAAGUCGAGCGAGAAGACGUAGCAAUACGUUUGUAAAGCGGCGAACGGGUGAGGAAUACAUGGGUAACCUACCCUUGAGUGGGGAAGUAACUAGCCGAAAGGUUAGCUAAUACCGCGUACGCUUCCUGGACUUCGGUUCAGGGAGGAAAGCGAUGCCGAGGGUAUCGCGCUCUUGGAUGGGCUCAUGUCCUAUCAGCUUGUUGGNGAGGUAACGGCUCACCAAGGCUUCGACGGGUAGCUGGUCUGAGAGGACGAUCAGCCACACUGGCACUGCGACACGGGCCAGACUCCUACGGGAGGCAGCAGUAAGGAAUAUUGCGCAAUGGGCGAAAGCCUGACGCAGCGACGCCGCGUGGGGGA
RNAcentral lists this ribosomal RNA (390 nucleotides) under uncultured bacterium. RNAcentral's name for it is "bacterial SSU rRNA". It matches the Rfam family "Bacterial small subunit ribosomal RNA", at positions 29 to 408 of the family's 1533-position model. The record is from RNAcentral.